RNAcentral lists this ribosomal RNA (556 nucleotides) under uncultured archaeon. RNAcentral describes it as "bacterial SSU rRNA". It matches the Rfam family "Archaeal small subunit ribosomal RNA", at positions 325 to 879 of the family's 1478-position model. The record is from RNAcentral.
ACGGGGUGCAGCAGGCGCGAAACCUCCGCAAUGCGAGAAAUCGCGACGGGGGGACCCCAAGUGCCACUCUUAACGGGGUGGCUUUUCUUAAGUGUAAAAAGCUUUUGGAAUAAGGGCUGGGCAAGACCGGUGCCAGCCGCCGCGGUAACACCGGCAGCUCUAGUGGUAGCAGUUUUUAUUGGGCCUAAAGCGUCCGUAGCCGGUUUAAUAAGUCUCUGGUGAAAUCCUGUAGCUUAACUGUGGGAAUUGCUGGAGAUACUAUUAGACUUGAGACCGGGAGAGGUUAGAGGUACUCCCAGGGUAGAGGUGAAAUUCUGUAAUCCUGGGAGGACCGCCUGUUGCGAAGGCGUCUAACUGGAACGGUUCUGACGGUGAGGGACGAAAGUUAGGGGCGCGAACCGGAUUAGAUACCCGGGUAGUCCUAACUGUAAACGAUGCGGACUUGGUGUUGGGGUGGCUUUGAGCUGUUCCAGUGCCGAAGGGAAGCUGUUAAGUCCGCCGCCUGGGAAGUACGGUCGCAAGACUUGAAAACUUAAAGGAAUUGGCGGGGGAGCAC